Rhododendron vialii is the source of this 2386-nucleotide RNA transcript. It is a transcript of the gene named dolichol-phosphate mannose synthase subunit 3-like, with no coding region annotated. The record is from RefSeq and is a predicted model, not a curated record. Lineage: Eukaryota; Viridiplantae; Streptophyta; Magnoliopsida; Ericales; Ericaceae. The transcript is spliced from 5 exons.
CUUGAAAUAUAUUCAGAUUUUCCUUUAUCACAAGCCGUAGAUCCUUUCUUCCAGUUCCAGUUCAAGAAUUUCAUACCCUUUUCUUCCCUAAUUUCAUCUUUAAUUGUUUCAGGAAGAUCUUCAUCUCUGGAUUGGCUAAAGGACAUGAAGCGUGUUGCAAAGAUAAUGACAUUGUUAGUGGCAAUAUCUGCCUUCUGGAUUGGCCUCUUGUUGCAAACAUCUAUGGUUCCACGCAGCUAUACUUGGUUGCUACCUUUGUACUUCGUCCUGUCGCUAGGAUGUUACGGCCUAUUAAUGGUUGGAGUUGGGCUGAUGCAGUUUCGAACUUGCCCGCAAGAAGCUGUUCUGUUGCAGCAGGACAUUGUAGAGGCCAAGGGAUUCCUGGAGCAAAGAGGAGUUCAUAUCAGCUCUUAUUGAUCCAAUCAGCAAAGUACCUUGCCAGGAAAGGGCCAACUACGCAAAGAGAUAUUUUAAGGCCACCUGUAUAAUUUGGCUUAUGAGGAAAUAAGAAGUUUAGCUGUUGCGUUUAACAUCAAAGGUAAGUCAUGAGUGAUCGAAGCUAUAGAAGACAAGGGUUCAUUAUAAACCACUUUUUUUUUUCAUUGGUUUAAAAUAACUUCAUCUAACUGGGAUAAGACUUGUAAGACUAUUGCUGAUAUUUUCCCGUAACCAGCUUAUUCGAUAAAUGGUGUUAGACAGUUAGAGUGGGUAUUGGAUCUCAUUUUGAUAGCUAAAUUUUCUCUCUCUCUGUUAAAGCUAAAAUAAUGCUGAGAGGUUAUCUGUCAUUUAGAAUUCUAUGCUCUGACUUUCUUUAGCCAGUGAGUUGUUGCAUGCCUUGAUUGCCACAGAUGGCUGAACUGACUAGUUCCUUUGACUGUGAUUGGGAAAUGGCUGCCACCCAAAGACUUUGAUGUAUGUUGUACAAUCUAAAGGAAAUGAUGUUAAGGUAAAAUGAUUUUUGCCAUUUUCCACGACCCAAAAUUUUGCUAUUUUAGAAAAUAAAGGUAUUUCCAUUGGGAUGUGAACACCUCAUUCAUCAUCAGAACCUGUUAAUAUAGGAUUUGGGGCUUAAGGCUUUGGAUUAUUCCUUCCUCUCUUAUCAUACUGCAAUAUUUUUAGAGGGUUACUCUUAGGCAUUUGGUCAAUGCGACAGUUGUUUUGCUGUUUUAUGGGCGUGAACUUAUAUUAUUCUGCUUGUUCACCUGUCUGAAUUGGAUAAUGUUUGGUCUAAAAGAUAGUGGAUGCUUCUUCGUUAUCCAAUAAAUGAAGAUUUUAUUAGUUCUUGCGCAUGCUUUAUAAGUUCGCUGCUAGUAAGGUUUAUUUUGUGGGACAUUGUUGAGGCCAAGUAAUUCUUGGACCAAAGAAGGGUUGAUGUGGGUUCUGAUGGAACUGAUCAUCAGGAUCCCUUUGUGAAUGCCAGGAAAGGGUCCAACUUCGCAAGAAAAUCUUUUAAAAGUCACCUGUUUGGUAUCGGUGUUUCGGGUUGACAGUUAUCAGGAAGCAUCUCAAUUAGGCAAAAUAUUUUCCAGAAUUUUGGUGUAUUGAGAUGAAUAUGCCCUUGUCUUCUUAUGAUCUAUCUGUGCUCGGGAGAGUGCUAGCUCUUCAGCUAGAAAGGCUAACACAAUUUUAGCAGUAAAGUUUGUUUUCUUUGUCUGGAUUUCACUUUUGUUGCAGAGAAUUAAAAAAGAAGAAGGUAAACACAAACAUUUCUGGGAUACGUUUUAUUGCAUAGUAGAUAGUAGUUAGACCCAAGGUUGACAGAGUUCAUAAAGGGAGCAAACCUGCUGCAACCCCUAUAGAGGGUCACAAGCCGGCAUGAACGUUAUUUAUGUAUAUAAGCACCCUAACCAAACACCCAUAGGGUUCCAUGAUCACUAGUCAUGGUCUCAUGGAUAUCCAUGGCCAGCCAUACCACCAAUCUUGGGAACUUCCAUGUUUGUGGUUUCUCCUUUACCCUUAUCUUCAGGUCUGAUUUCAGUUUUGCUGCUACCCGGCCACCACCAGGGGAAGUGUGGAAACCAGAGAGCUUGGGGGUUGUAGACCUCCUCUCCUUCGGUUGAUACCAUACCAUCGACUUCAGGAAGAUAUCCGUGGCCAGCCGUAGCAUCAACCUGGGGAACUUCUAUGUUUCUGGCAUCUCCUUUAGCUUUAUCUUUAGGCCCACUUUCAGCUUUGUUGAUACUUGCCCACCACCAGGGGAUGUGUGGAAACCAGAAAGCUUGGGGAUUGUAGACCUCCCCUCCUUUGGUGGAGAAAUCUCUUCCUCCUUCUGCACCAGAGAGAAAUGCCACGAGGAAGAUGGAGAGGACAAAUAGUACCGUUUUAGUAACACCCGCCAUUCUUAAACUUCUUUCUCUUGUGUAUCUUUCUUUCUGUCUUUUGCGAU